RNAcentral lists this long non-coding RNA (492 nucleotides) under Betta splendens (Siamese fighting fish). RNAcentral's name for it is "lncRNA (ENSBSLG00000000862.1)". Lineage: Eukaryota; Metazoa; Chordata; Actinopteri; Anabantiformes; Osphronemidae. The record is from RNAcentral.
AUGUUGUCAUUUUGUUGGAUGCUUUGUGUCACUGCAGCUGCUGAAGUUAAUGUUGAUGAAGAAGAAAACCUCACAUACAGUGACCUCAAAAUAUUACAGCAAAAACACCACCAGCGCCAGAAAUCAAGAAUCACAGAGUCUGAUCCAGCAGCUGUUUACUCAGCAGUGAGAACAGGAGACGUCAUUUAUGGACCAAUAGUGAUUAAAAACAAGAAAACAAAGCAAACAGACUUUCCACCGGAACCAGAGACUGUGUACUCCUCCCUGAGGUUCAACUUAACCCCUUCAGUCCAGUUCAACCACUGACGUCCUGGUAGCUCCCCACACACGCUUGUUUAUUAAUGCCUAGUGAAGUAUUUGCUGUAAAGGCCUUGUUACUUUGCUUUUUAUAAAAUCCGGCCAGUGCAGCAUCAACGCUUGUGUAGUAGCUGUAGUCUGAUGUUUUAUCACCAGGUAGAAGCUGCCUAAUAAACAUGUAAUGACAGUGAAGCA